RNAcentral lists this ribosomal RNA (468 nucleotides) under uncultured bacterium. RNAcentral's name for it is "partial 16S ribosomal RNA". It matches the Rfam family "Bacterial small subunit ribosomal RNA", at positions 28 to 507 of the family's 1533-position model. The record is from RNAcentral.
GACGAACGCUGGCGGCGUGCUUAACACAUGCCAGUCGAACGGAAAGGCCCUGAUUUUGUGGGGUUCUCGAGGGGGGAAGGGGGGCGUAACACGUGAGUAACCGGCCCUUGUCUUUGGGAGAACUUCACGAAACGGGGGCUACUACCGGAUAGGAUCUCCUGCAGCAUGGUGGGGGGUGGAAAGUUUCGGCUGGUGGGGGUGUACUCGCGGCUUACCAGCUUGUUGGUGGGGUAGUGGCGGACCAAUGCUUUGAAGGGUAGGCCGCCUGGGAGGGUGACCGGCCACAUUGGGACUGAGGUACGGCACAGAGUGCUACGGGAGGCAGCAGUGGGGAAUAUUGCACAAUGCACAGCAGCCUGAUGCAGAAGCGCCGCGUGCUGUAUGACGGCCUUGGGGUUGUAAACCGCUUUCGCCUGUGACGAAGCGUGAGUGACGGUAAUGGGUAAAGAAGCCCCGGCUAACUACGUG